GAGCCUUUAGCUCAGUUGGUUCAGAGUGCUUGCUUGACAUGCAAGAGGUCGGCAGUUCAAAUCUGCCAAGGCUCAC
RNAcentral lists this transfer RNA (76 nucleotides) under bioreactor metagenome. Its description in RNAcentral is "tRNA-Val". It matches the Rfam family "tRNA". From Rfam's summary of the family: Transfer RNA (tRNA) molecules are approximately 80 nucleotides in length. The record is from RNAcentral.